UUAUCGGAGAGUUUGAUCCUGGCUCAGGACGAACGCUGGCGGCGUGCCUAAUACAUGCAAGUCGAGCGGACCAAUUAAAAGCUUG
This 85-nucleotide ribosomal RNA is filed under the name Metabacillus arenae. Its description in RNAcentral is "Bacterial small subunit ribosomal RNA". It matches the Rfam family "Bacterial small subunit ribosomal RNA", at positions 1 to 85 of the family's 1533-position model. Lineage: Bacteria; Bacillati; Bacillota; Bacilli; Caryophanales; Bacillaceae. The record is from Rfam by way of RNAcentral.